UCUCUCACUCUGCCUUAUGACCCUCAGUCGAAUUCUUUCUUCUGAGGAGGCAAGAAUUGAGGUUACUGCAGACCUGUACAGAUUCACCACCAGCAACACUGAGUCAUUCUAGCGAAUCACAGAACCUGAAGAAGGAGUGGGAAGUGUAACCAUAAUAAGUUCAUUGCCUGAUGUGCAUGGCAGGUCAAUACUCCAAGAUAGCAGGUUGCAGCAGAGAAAGAGGUUUAAUCAUAGGGCUGCCAAGCAAGGAGAUGGGAGGAAACCUCAAAUUUGUCUCCCCAAGGAGAUUGAGGCUAAGGUUUUUAAGGGUUUUGGAGCAGGCUGGAGUGUGGUGAUGGUUGACUGAGUGCAGACGAAGUCAUGAGACAGGCAGGUGAAGAAUAUAGAUUGUCAUGCUGAUUCAGUUCCUCUGACACCAACUGGUUGGCGUCAACUGUUCCAGUGGAAUUCAGGGUUGGCUUAAGCAAUUCUUAAACAAAAUCCUCAUGAUCCUAUGAUUCUGUUUAAGCAAUUCUUAAGAGUCUUAUGAUUUUAACAUUAGAAAUCCUGUCUGUAGGAGCAGCGGGCAUGCAAACCGUCAGUAUCUAGUGUUAUGUGACUUUGGUUACAAGGAAGUGGGUCAAAGCACAGCCUAAUUAAUGCUUAAUUAUAAAUAUAUUUCUGUCCAGAAUUCUUGUUAACCCUGUGAGGAUGGCUUCCUAAGCAGGGGAACCCUAAAAUUUAGAGUUGGCUGGGCAGAAGCAUGGGUUGCCUGGGGACCCCAUGGGCAGCUGGCAUCUGAAGUGCAGCAGUCUCAUGAGACUGAGCCCUUUAGCAUGUGGAAUCUUAUGCUAACUCCAGGAAGAUAGUUGAGAAUUUAAUUUAAUUGUCAGACUCCCACUAGAGUCCAGAGAGUUGGAGAAGUGGUUGGUGUCACAUUGGCAGUGGCAGCACUGAAGAGUGGCACUCAGCUCUCCUUCAAAAGAACCUGCCAGGGAAGAAUUAUCACAGUGGUCUAGUGGCGCCAGAUGCCACCCUUUUGGUCCCAUCUUGCAUUUGUCCUGAGGAAACCAACUUGUCCUGGUUUCCUCAGAUAUUCCCAGUUUUAACAAUCAAAGUCCCAGAGCCUGGCAACCCCUUCAGUCCCAGGGAAACUAGGACAGUGUUCAGUUGGUCAGUCAAUGGCUCACACACGGCUCACCGCCAAUGACUGAGCAUAGUGGAAUAUGAGUUCUGGCUCACUCCUGCACAUACACAAAUCCUCUGACAAGCAGUUUUUGCUUGGGGACUUCCCACCAGCCCAGCCUGAACUUUCUCAGAACUGUGCUACAGUCUGAGGAUCAGCUGACCUAACCCUCCUCUUUCUCACCUCUCUGUCCACAGGGGUCACACUUGCCUUGGGGUCUGAUGGCUCUCCCUGCCUGCUCCCACUCUUCCCCCUUCAUCUUUUCCAGGGAUUUCUCUCAAUCAAUCUCUUACCUGUCUAAUUCUGUUUUGGCACCUGAUUCUUAGAGGACCAGAAUUGACACAGGGACCCAUUUAUCAAUUUUUUUCUUUGAAACAGGAUCUCGCUUUUUUUUUUUUUUUUUUUUUUGAGACACUGUCACCCAGGCUGCAGUGCAGUGGCACAAUCAUGACUCGCUGCAGCCUCAACCUCCCAGGCUCAGGCUAUCCUCCCACUUCAGCCUCUCAAGUAGCUGGGACCACAGGCACAUGCCACCACCCUCGGCUAAUUUUUUUUUCCCCAAUAGAAACAGGGUCUCCCUAUGUUGCCCAAGCUGGUCACAAACUCCUGGACUCAAGCAAUUCUCCCACCUCAUCCUCCCAAAAUGCUGGGAUCAUAGGCAUGAGCCACCACAUCAAGCUUCUAAGUAUUUUUUAAAGCUCCCAAAGCAAUUGUGAUGUCAGCCACAUUUGAGAAUCAUUAUCCAGCUGUGCUAACUACCAGUGUGUCUGCCCAUAGUCUAAUGGGGAGAACAACAUGGAAAAUGCAGCUAGGCAUAUGUGAGCUGAAUGUUCUGGAAGCACUGAGGAAGGAGAGACUAAAUCGCCCUGAUGAAGUAGGGGGUGGCUUCAGCUUCCUGUGCUGAGAGACAACAAAGGAAUGUAGAAGUCCACAUGCAUGUAAAGCGCUGGUGUGUGCUCCAGGAAGACCUGAGAAGUUACGAAGUUCUUAUCUCUGGCUGACCUUGAGGUUCUUUCAAGAAAUGAAGGCUAAGUGUCUCAUUUUAAGGCCUGAAAGCAAAGCUGCCAAGCAACCGUCAGAGAGAGAGCUACAGCUACAGAGAGUAAGAUAACAAGGGCCUGUCCUAGAGCAGGGCUGGGUCAGGGGAGGAUGGAAGGAGAAGUUCCCCAGGAUAUCGUAAGGGAUGGAGUUGGGGUGGCAGGGAUCUGUGUACCAAAUGCUCACAGAAUUCCAAGAGGUAUAGAGGGACCAGGAAUAUCUGAAAAAAAGUAGUCUUCAGGUUUCCCUGAACAGCCUCAUAUGGACUACCUUGGUCAUGAGUAACCAGUGUUGAGAAUCAGUGUUGCAAUCUCACUCCCACCCCCACUGUUACCCUCAGCCAUGAGAACCUGAAACCAUUCUUGGUCUAGGUAUCACUCACCAGUGGUAUGUUUUGCUAAACAAUCUUGGGUUUAAUUAUAAUAUUGGCCACAAAUUGUUUGCAUCUCUUCCCAUAAAGAGGUGGAGUUGAUAUUCUUCCUUCUUUUGAAUCUGGCCUUGGCAUAUGACUUGCU
Long non-coding RNA from Symphalangus syndactylus (siamang), 2718 nucleotides. RefSeq lists it as uncharacterized. NCBI's taxonomy places the organism in Eukaryota, Metazoa, Chordata, Mammalia, Primates, Hylobatidae. The record is from RefSeq and is a predicted model, not a curated record.